GAUCAUUACCGAAUUGUCAAACGGGUUGUUGCUGGUCCUCAAACGGGGACAUGUGCACGCUCUGUUUACACAUCCACUCACACCUGUGCACCCUCCGUAGUUCUAUGGUCUGGGGGACCCCGUCUUCCUGCCGUGGUUCUGCGUCUUUACACACACGCUGUAACAAAGUCUUAUGGAAUGUAUGCCGCGUCUAACGCAAUACAAUACAACUUUCAGCAACGGAUCUCUUGGCUCUCGCAUCGAUGAAGAACGCAGCGAAAUGCGAUAAGUAAUGUGAAUUGCAGAAUUCAGUGAAUCAUCGAAUCUUUGAACGCACCUUGCGCCCCUUGGCUAUUCCGAGGGGCAUGCCUGUUUGAGUAUCAUGAACACCUCAACUCUCAUGGUUUGCCAUGAUGAGCUUGGACUCUGGGGGUUUUGCUGGCCUGUGGUCGGCUCCCCUCAAAUGAAUCAGCCUCCCAGUGUUUGGUGGCAUCACGGGUGUGAUAAAUAUCUACGCUCAUGGUCGUCUGCCAGGUAACCUUUGGUGACAAAGGUUUGCUGGAGCUCAUAGAUGUCUCUUCUCAGUGAGGACAGCUUUUUGAACGUUCGAUCUCAAAUCAGGUAGGACUACCCGCUGAACUUAAGCAUAUCAUAA
This 634-nucleotide ribosomal RNA is filed under the name uncultured Tomentella. Its description in RNAcentral is "eukaryotic LSU rRNA". The stretch from base 208 to 362 matches the Rfam family "5.8S ribosomal RNA". Lineage: Eukaryota; Fungi; Basidiomycota; Agaricomycetes; Thelephorales; Thelephoraceae. The record is from RNAcentral.